RNAcentral lists this unclassified non-coding RNA (188 nucleotides) under plant metagenome. RNAcentral's name for it is "partial contains small subunit ribosomal RNA, internal transcribed spacer 1, and 5.8S ribosomal RNA". The record is from RNAcentral.
UUUCCGUAGGUGAACCUGCGGAAGGAUCAUUAGUGAACGCCCUCACGGGCUUAUAACUAUUCCAAACCUCUGUGAACCGUGCCCUUCGGGGUUAUUUUACAAACAUGGUGUAAUGAACGUCAUAUAUCAUAACAAAACAAGACUUUCAACAACGGAUCUCUUGGCUCUCGCAUGAUGAAGAACGCAGC